CCUUAAUAAUCAGAAUGCUUUUCUAUAUGAAAGGAAACAUGAGUCUUUUUCCCACCUUAUUCUUAGAAAUUGGCUAACAUUAUUUUUACAUACCCUUAGUUUUUUAUGUUGAUUCAAAGAAAACUCAACUGAUUUAUUUGUAGGGACGAAACUUCUGUCAUUUAGCAGUCAACAAAUUUUUCCAAGUGCAGCUGCAUGGGCUGGCGUAGUCAAAACGGACAGCGACAUGGUAUUAUACAACAACCAAUCGCAUAUAAAUUGCAUGGACAAUCAAAACUCGUUCCCUGAUUCUUCAGCUUGUAGCUACAAAGGAGGAAAUCAAUUCCAGUUCAUGCAAGGCAGUGACCAUAGUCUCCCUGAAGCUUCAAUCUGCCAGCCACUUGUUGAUCAUGCCAAUUCUGCAGCAGCAGCAGUUUCUAGCAGCGGACAAAAGAUCUUCUCCAGUGGAUUGAACGAAAUUGUGGACUCUGAUCGUGCUCUCUCUCUUCUGUCAUCAGCACCCGCUGUAACUAGGGAGAUUGGUUUUAGUCACAUGGUGCAGCAGCCUGCUUCUAUCCCUCGGCCCCAGUCACAAUCCGUCGUUCAUAGCCUACACUAUGGUGGUCUAAGCCAGUACCCUUUUGCUCAAGAUUUCAAUAGCCAACCUCAAGAUUCUGCUGCAGAUUCACAUGUUAGCAACAACAGCUCUCUGCAUUUCCAUGAUAUGUUACAAAAUGGACCAGAUGGAUCAUCUACAAGUGCUGGCUGUGAGCAAACACUAGCCUUUAUGUGGGACUAAAAAAACUUUCAGGAUAUCUAAAUUUGGUCUCUGUUAACAUCAAGAAAAUUCCUUCCAAGCAAAUGUUAUUCCCAUUAAGAUUCUAUCCCCCGGCCCCAGUCACAAUCCGUCGCUCAUAGCCUACACUAUGGUGGUCUAAGCCAGUACCCUUUUGCUCAAGAUUUCAAUAGCCAACCUCAAGAUUCUGCUGCAGAUUCACAUGUUAGCAACAACAGCUCUCUGCAUUUCCAUGAUAUGUUACAAAAUGGACCAGAUGGAUCAUCUACAAGUGCUGGCUGUGAGCAAACACUAGCCUUUAUGUGGGACUAAAAAAACUUUCAGGAUAUCUAAAUUUGGUCUCUGUUAACAUCAAGAAAAUUCCUUCCAAGCAAAUGUUAUUCCCAUUAAGAAUGUUUAGCUUCUAAUUAGCGACAAUUUCUUCUCUAAAAGGGUCGAAUGUCAGUAAAAUCCUAUCAUGAAGUCAUUUGUGACAUAGGUUGACUUUCGUGUGAAAUAUGAGUUGGCCAUUCUAUAUUCCCUUCAUUAUAUUUC
This 1309-nucleotide long non-coding RNA is filed under the name Nicotiana benthamiana. RNAcentral describes it as "long non-coding RNA (NBEN_LNC030209)". Lineage: Eukaryota; Viridiplantae; Streptophyta; Magnoliopsida; Solanales; Solanaceae. The record is from RNAcentral.